This 374-nucleotide long non-coding RNA is filed under the name Ursus maritimus (polar bear). RNAcentral's name for it is "lncRNA (ENSUMAG00000017387.1)". The record is from RNAcentral. Lineage: Eukaryota; Metazoa; Chordata; Mammalia; Carnivora; Ursidae.
CACAUAUUGUCUUACUUUAUUCUCACAACAACCUCAUUUGAUCGUAUUUUUAUCUACACUUUACAGAGGAAGAAGUGGAGGGGAGGACAGUACGUUGUCUUAGGUCACACAGCCAGUGGGAGACGGACAACACCAGCUAUCUGACGUUAAAGCCCAGACCUUUGAAGAUGGUACUGCUGUAAGUUUGGGCCUUCAACUAGCUUAUGCUGAGCAAGAUGCUGAGGGGACUUAUUCCCAAGCCAGAGAAGACUGCACUCCGAGGCCUCCCACCCCUGGCCCACAUCUUCCAGAUUCUAGAACCUUUGGAGUAACAAAUGCAAGACAGAACUGGCCCAUCACCGUGAAAUCAAGCCACUAUUUACCUCUAUUCAAUG